This 468-nucleotide ribosomal RNA is filed under the name uncultured bacterium. RNAcentral's name for it is "partial 16S ribosomal RNA". It matches the Rfam family "Bacterial small subunit ribosomal RNA", at positions 28 to 507 of the family's 1533-position model. The record is from RNAcentral.
GACGAACGCUGGCGGCGUGCUUAACACAUGCAAGUCGAACGGAAAGGCCCUGCUUUUGUGGGGUGCUCGAGUGGCGAACGGGUGAGUAACACGUGAGUAACCUGCCCUUGACUUUGGGAUAACUUCAGGAAACUGGGGCUAAUACCGGAUAGGAUCUCCUGCUGCAUGGAGGGGGUUGGAACGUUUCGGCGGUUGGGGAUGGACUCGCGGCUUAUCAGCUUGUUGGUGGGGUAGUUGCUUACCAAGGCUUUGACUGGUACCCGGCCUGGGAGGGUGACCAGCCACAUUGGGACUGAGAUACGGACCAGAGUCCUACGGGAGGCAGUAGGGGCGAGUCUUGCACAAUGGGCGGGAGCCUGAUGCAGCAACGCCGCGUGCGGGAUGACGGCCUUCGGGUAGUAAACCGCUUUCGCCUGUGACGAAGCGGGAGUGACGGUAAUGAGUAAAGAAGCACCGGCUAACUACGUG